ACGACGUGGGAGUCCAGUGAUGUAACCCUUAUGCCUUCUGCUGGUCCUGAAGAACCCCUUUUCUCCCUAUGCUGUUUUCAUCACACUUGUGACAGCAUCCCGCAGUUUACCCCCGAGGGCACGAACCCCAGGUCAGACUUGCUCCUGAGCUACACUCCGGUCUGCGCUCGCCUUUGUCCUGACUCGCCACUCCUGUCUCCGCCAGGGUCUCAGAAGCUGCACGGAAAGCGACCAGUAGAAAUACAUAGAAGGAGAAAUUUUAAGGAUAUACGACAAUAAAAAAAGCACUGCUGCUUUAAUGGUGCUGAGAAACCCUGGGUCGAGGUAACAGCUAUUAGAGAACUGGGUCAGCUUCACAGCAACGGAGCCACGUCUGGAAAGCAGGCAAGCCUUAAUCCCCACGUGGGCCCGACAUUCAACCCUGCCCGUUUUACCUCCAAGCUCCUGGAGCAGCAGCAGCUGGCGGGAUGCCACGGUAGACUGCACAUUUGCCUUUCAGGACGGGAUACAAGCCCUCUGCCGUCGUGGGUCCUGACAACAGGGCCCGGUUCCGGAAGCUGGGGGCAGGGGACCUUGCCUGCCCUCGGCGGUUCCAGCUGCUACAUGGGUGGAGGGAAACGACCUGGAAUAUUCCCGUUAACAUCAGUUUCCAUUUCAUGCAACCGGUGGGGACCUGGAGUCCCCAAAUGCAGACCGCGCUGCUUCCCGGCAGAGCCUGGCCUGACAGCGCCGGGCUCGGCCACGUCCCUCCGCGGAGCAGACGGAGCAGACGGAGCAGACGAGCAGUCAGAGCUGGGCUCGUGCAGGAGAGACACACCUCCCGGGGCGAGGACGCAGAAAGGGUCCCGUGUGUUUAGUCUUUGCUAUUUUUACCCUUCUGGUUUUCAGUUAAAUUGUGACUGACAAUCGUUUGGUUAUAGUGACCCAUUAAUUCACUAAACAGAAGCCCAUUGGUGUCAAAGCCUCCUUUUUUCAAGUUUAAAAGAAAAUGGAUCUCUACAUGUGUCAUUACACCUCCAGGACCUUGUCACCCGGCAAAACAGAAGCUCUGCGCUCACCGGUCGGUAACUUGCCGUCCCGUCCUGGUGACCGCCCGCCAUUCCCGAGUUCAACUCUGCUCAUGUACGCGAGGUCACCUGGUGUCUCUUUCUGUGUCUGGCUGUCCGCACAGUGGGACGUCCUUGCGGUCCAUCCUGUCAUGCUGAAGACCAAGUCAGAUUUCCUUCUUGUUCGGGACUAAACACCCC
Tupaia belangeri chinensis (Chinese tree shrew) is the source of this 1247-nucleotide long non-coding RNA. RefSeq lists it as uncharacterized. The transcript is spliced from 3 exons. Lineage: Eukaryota; Metazoa; Chordata; Mammalia; Scandentia; Tupaiidae. The record is from RefSeq and is a predicted model, not a curated record.